This 2771-nucleotide ribosomal RNA is filed under the name Escherichia coli. RNAcentral describes it as "partial 23S ribosomal RNA". It matches the Rfam family "Bacterial large subunit ribosomal RNA". The record is from RNAcentral. Lineage: Bacteria; Pseudomonadati; Pseudomonadota; Gammaproteobacteria; Enterobacterales; Enterobacteriaceae.
GUUAAGCGACUAAGCGUACACGGUGGAUGCCCUGGCAGUCAGAGGCGAUGAAGGACGUGCUAAUCUGCGAUAAGCGUCGGUGAGGUGAUAUGAACCGUUAUAACCGGCGAUUUCCGAAUGGGGAAACCCAGUGUGUUUCGACACACUAUCAUUAACUGAAUCCAUAGGUUAAUGAGGCGAACCGGGGGAACUGAAACAUCUAAGUACCCCGAGGAAAAGAAAUCAACCGAGAUUCCCCCAGUAGCGGCGAGCGAACGGGGAGGAGCCCAGAGCCUGAAUCAGUGUGUGUGUUAGUGGAAGCGUCUGGAAAGGCGCGCGAUACAGGGUGACAGCCCCGUACACAAAAAUGCACAUAUUGUGAGCUCGAUGAGUAGGGCGGGACACGUGGUAUCCUGUCUGAAUAUGGGGGGACCAUCCUCCAAGGCUAAAUACUCCUGACUGACCGAUAGUGAACCAGUACCGUGAGGGAAAGGCGAAAAGAACCCCGGCGAGGGGAGUGAAAAAGAACCUGAAACCGUGUACGUACAAGCAGUGGGAGCCUCUUAAUGGGGUGACUGCGUACCUUUUGUAUAAUGGGUCAGCGACUUAUAUUCUGUAGCAAGGUUAACCGAAUAGGGGAGCCGAAGGGAAACCGAGUCUUAACUGGGCGUUAAGUUGCAGGGUAUAGACCCGAAACCCGGUGAUCUAGCCAUGGGCAGGUUGAAGGUUGGGUAACACUAACUGGAGGACCGAACCGACUAAUGUUGAAAAAUUAGCGGAUGACUUGUGGCUGGGGGUGAAAGGCCAAUCAAACCGGGAGAUAGCUGGUUCUCCCCGAAAGCUAUUUAGGUAGCGCCUCGUGAAUUCAUCUCCGGGGGUAGAGCACUGUUUCGGCAAGGGGGUCAUCCCGACUUACCAACCCGAUGCAAACUGCGAAUACCGGAGAAUGUUAUCACGGGAGACACACGGCGGGUGCUAACGUCCGUCGUGAAGAGGGAAACAACCCAGACCGCCAGCUAAGGUCCCAAAGUCAUGGUUAAGUGGGAAACGAUGUGGGAAGGCCCAGACAGCCAGGAUGUUGGCUUAGAAGCAGCCAUCAUUUAAAGAAAGCGUAAUAGCUCACUGGUCGAGUCGGCCUGCGCGGAAGAUGUAACGGGGCUAAACCAUGCACCGAAGCUGCGGCAGCGACGCUUAUGCGUUGUUGGGUAGGGGAGCGUUCUGUAAGCCUGCGAAGGUGUGCUGUGAGGCAUGCUGGAGGUAUCAGAAGUGCGAAUGCUGACAUAAGUAACGAUAAAGCGGGUGAAAAGCCCGCUCGCCGGAAGACCAAGGGUUCCUGUCCAACGUUAAUCGGGGCAGGGUGAGUCGACCCCUAAGGCGAGGCCGAAAGGCGUAGUCGAUGGGAAACAGGUUAAUAUUCCUGUACUUGGUGUUACUGCGAAGGGGGGACGGAGAAGGCUAUGUUGGCCGGGCGACGGUUGUCCCGGUUUAAGCGUGUAGGCUGGUUUUCCAGGCAAAUCCGGAAAAUCAAGGCUGAGGCGUGAUGACGAGGCACUACGGUGCUGAAGCAACAAAUGCCCUGCUUCCAGGAAAAGCCUCUAAGCAUCAGGUAACAUCAAAUCGUACCCCAAACCGACACAGGUGGUCAGGUAGAGAAUACCAAGGCGCUUGAGAGAACUCGGGUGAAGGAACUAGGCAAAAUGGUGCCGUAACUUCGGGAGAAGGCACGCUGAUAUGUAGGUGAAGCGACUUGCUCGUGGAGCUGAAAUCAGUCGAAGAUACCAGCUGGCUGCAACUGUUUAUUAAAAACACAGCACUGUGCAAACACGAAAGUGGACGUAUACGGUGUGACGCCUGCCCGGUGCCGGAAGGUUAAUUGAUGGGGUUAGCGGUAACGCGAAGCUCUUGAUCGAAGCCCCGGUAAACGGCGGCCGUAACUAUAACGGUCCUAAGGUAGCGAAAUUCCUUGUCGGGUAAGUUCCGACCUGCACGAAUGGCGUAAUGAUGGCCAGGCUGUCUCCACCCGAGACUCAGUGAAAUUGAACUCGCUGUGAAGAUGCAGUGUACCCGCGGCAAGACGGAAAGACCCCGUGAACCUUUACUAUAGCUUGACACUGAACAUUGAGCCUUGAUGUGUAGGAUAGGUGGGAGGCUUUGAAGUGUGGACGCCAGUCUGCAUGGAGCCGACCUUGAAAUACCACCCUUUAAUGUUUGAUGUUCUAACGUUGGCCCCUGAUCGGGGUUGCGGACAGUGUCUGGUGGGUAGUUUGACUGGGGCGGUCUCCUCCUAAAGAGUAACGGAGGAGCACGAAGGUUGGCUAAUCCUGGUCGGACAUCAGGAGGUUAGUGCAAUGGCAUAAGCCAGCUUGACUGCGAGCGUGACGGCGCGAGCAGGUGCGAAAGCAGGUCAUAGUGAUCCGGUGGUUCUGAAUGGAAGGGCCAUCGCUCAACGGAUAAAAGGUACUCCGGGGAUAACAGGCUGAUACCGCCCAAGAGUUCAUAUCGACGGCGGUGUUUGGCACCUCGAUGUCGGCUCAUCACAUCCUGGGGCUGAAGUAGGUCCCAAGGGUAUGGCUGUUCGCCAUUUAAAGUGGUACGCGAGCUGGGUUUAGAACGUCGUGAGACAGUUCGGUCCCUAUCUGCCGUGGGCGCUGGAGAACUGAGGGGGGCUGCUCCUAGUACGAGAGGACCGGAGUGGACGCAUCACUGGUGUUCGGGUUGUCAUGCCAAUGGCACUGCCCGGUAGCUAAAUGCGGAAGAGAUAAGUGCUGAAAGCAUCUAAGCACGAAACUUGC